GAACGGGUGAGUAAUGUAUCGGAACGUGCCCAGUCGUGGGGGAUAACUGCUCGAAAGAGCAGCUAAUACCGCAUACGACCUGAGGGUGAAAGCGGGGGAUCGCAAGACCUCGCGCGAUUGGAGCGGCCGAUAUCAGAUUAGGUAGUUGGUGAGGUAAAGGCUCACCAAGCCGACGAUCUGUAGCUGGUCUGAGAGGACGACCAGCCACACUGGGACUGAGACACGGCCCAGACUCCUACGGGAGGCAGCAGUGGGGAAUUUUGGACAAUGGGCGCAAGCCUGAUCCAGCCAUGCCGCGUGCGGGAAGAAGGCCUUCGGGUUGUAAACCGCUUUUGUCAGGGAAGAAAAGGUUCUGGCUAAUACCUGGGACUCAUGACGGUACCUGAAGAAUAAGCACCGGCUAACUACGUGCCAGCAGCCGCGGUAAUACGUAGGGUGCAAGCGUUAAUCGGAAUUACUGGGCGUAAAGCGUGCGCAGGCGGUUACGCAAGACAGAGGUGAAAUCCCCGGGCUCAACCUGGGAACUGCCUUUGUGACUGCAUGGCUAGAGUACGGUAGAGGGGGAUGGAAUUCCGCGUGUAGCAGUGAAAUGCGUAGAUAUGCGGAGGAACACCGAUGGCGAAGGCAAUCCCCUGGACCUGCACUGACGCUCAUGCACGA
RNAcentral lists this ribosomal RNA (660 nucleotides) under uncultured Roseateles sp. RNAcentral describes it as "bacterial SSU rRNA". It matches the Rfam family "Bacterial small subunit ribosomal RNA", at positions 100 to 756 of the family's 1533-position model. The record is from RNAcentral. Lineage: Bacteria; Pseudomonadati; Pseudomonadota; Betaproteobacteria; Burkholderiales; Sphaerotilaceae.